Molecule: long non-coding RNA, 951 nt
Filed under: Olea europaea subsp. europaea
Lineage: Eukaryota; Viridiplantae; Streptophyta; Magnoliopsida; Lamiales; Oleaceae
Source: RNAcentral
CCCUAAGAUACAACGACCACGUCAAGUCAUAUGAGCACUCCAAAUGAUUUCGACCAACAAACUCGAACGAAAUUCUCUCUUUAUCAUAACCAUGAUUUGGAUGCAAGAUAUAAUCACUUCUACAAAAUAUUUGAUGCAACAUGACAUGAAAUGAAUAAUAUGGUAUAUCAAAUGAACAAGGGGUCCUGUAUAUAAAGUUGAAAGGUUGUGGGUGAAGGGACACACUUCCCAAAUUCAACAUUUUUUAUGAAAAAUUACAACUCAAUUGUCGCUAGCUAUACGCAAUUCAACAUUUUUUAUGAAUAGUUACAAUCCAAUAGUUGCUAACUUUUCGCUGACCCAUCGUUUGAGCGACAGUCUUACCCGCUAAAUUUCGAUUUCCUUCAAAUAUUGGACCAAAUUACUUAUUCAUGCCAACAACUGAGUCCAUGGACAAAUGAUUGCUUUCCAUGGAUAAGGUUGCAAGAAAUUUUCACCUAUUUGCUCUUUUGUAGGCAAUCCUUUCUUUUUUGUUUGGAGGAAAACUGCAGUCCCACUCCACAUCCAUAGCCAAUCCUCAAUCACAUGAACAAAUCAUAAACAUUUUAAUAUAACUAGAACCAAUUCCACCAAAAUCAAUGUCCAAUCUUAAGCUAAUCAAACAGAAUAAAUAAAUAAACUAAAUAAUCAAACCGAAUUACUUAUCCCCUAAAACUGCAACAAAAUGCACUGUAGUUGAAGAAAAAUCUUUGAUCUCCUUUAAAAAAAAAAAUCACAUUUGAAUCUAAUUCGAAUUAAAUCCUAUAUAUGCAAAAUCGAACAGAGAAUGUGCAAAAUGGGAUUGAUAUAUACUCAAAUGAUUGUGGGCGAAUUGCUAUGAGUCAAUUUAGAUAGAGAUAAAAGAGAGAAUGUGGGAAAAAACUGUGUAUAGAGAGAGAAAAUUUGGAAGAGAGAGAGAGGAGGUGAAGCUUU